Molecule: long non-coding RNA, 1178 nt
Organism: Papaver somniferum (opium poppy)
Lineage: Eukaryota; Viridiplantae; Streptophyta; Magnoliopsida; Ranunculales; Papaveraceae
Exons: 2
Source: RefSeq, a predicted model, not a curated record
CCUCCGUUCUUUUUUCAUGGCUUCUUUUAUCAUGAGAAGGGAAUACUUGAUAAAAGAUCCCUUGUAAUCAAAUCUCAUUUCGAGGUUUUACUGGGAGUGGAAAAAGGGAAGAGACGAGGGUUCCAAUUUCCAUCAAAAUUUCUAGGGUUUAAGGGUUUUUUCCAUUUUUCAAUCAAAAUCAAAUUUAAUCCAAUUCCAUAUCUUGAAUUUCAUCAUCAUAAUCACCAUCAUGUUUACUCUCCGUAGAGUUGUAAAUCCUCUCAGAUCCAGACUACAUUUUGGUCUAAGAUCACUAGCAGCAGCAACAGCUCCUCUCCGAUCAUAUCAUACAAAAUCAAACAUUUUUCAUCAAAUUUCACCAACAGUAUCAAACAAUCUUCACCAGAGCCAACCACAUCACCGAAAUCUCUUCACAUUUCGUGGUUUUAACUCUCAAUCAGAACAACAACAACAAUCACCGAUCAAAAAAGAAGAUGGAUCCAUACAGUUGCUAAGAAACGGGGAAAGGCAAAAAGGUCGUCAAGUCCGAAGUUCCUUGCGCUGUCGAAUAGCUUUGUCUUGAGUAUUUAUGUUGGUUCUGAUGAAUUGGAGAAUGCUGAACAAAUGUUUAAGGAAAUUCAGGAUUCAGGAUCUCCGGUAAGUAGUUCAGAUUGUCAAAAUAUGAUAUGUUUGUAUAAGAAAUUCGAAAGGAGAAGAUAAAGAGUGUGUUAUUGUUCAUGGAGGAAAACGAUGUGGAGAUGACUCUGGAUUUUACAUACAGUUGUUGGAAGAUGAUUAUGUAAAAUGGUUUGUCCAUCACCGAUUUAGAUCUUGGGAGCAGUUGGUUGAAACGAUAGAGAAGUUGGAGUUUGCCGAAUCCAUGAAAAGUGAUGGUUUUGUGUUGAUUCCUAACUAUAUCCGUGCGGAGAUGGCCAGACACUAUAUUGGUAUAACAACUGCAACAACAAUCAAUUGGAUAAAAGUCGCCGGAGUGCACCGGUUGAUAUCUGGAGAUCACAGUCUUCGAAGUUUUAUACUGGAUGUAGUAAUAGAGGGUCUCAUUUCCCCCCGUAAGCAUCUCUAUUCUUCUGACAUUUUGUUGCUUUGUAUUGUAGUACAUUACCGUCCUGAAAUGGGUUAAGAGUACCCUCUUAUAGUACCUGACCUUAAGUAUGAAUGUAACCUGCUUGAUUAUAUGA